RNAcentral lists this ribosomal RNA (1771 nucleotides) under Reisingeria hexaoculata. RNAcentral describes it as "SSU rRNA". It matches the Rfam family "Eukaryotic small subunit ribosomal RNA". The record is from RNAcentral. Lineage: Eukaryota; Metazoa; Platyhelminthes; Prolecithophora; Pseudostomidae.
CCAGUAGUCAUAUGCYUGUCUCAAUGAUUAAGCCAUGCAUGUUUANNUACAGGUUGUCUAUGACAACGAAACCGCGAAUGGCUCAUUAAAUCAGCUAUUAUUUAUUUGACUAUAAAUAAUUAAUAUGGACAACUGUAGUAAUUCUAGAGCUAAUACCUGCCACUAUAUCUUGAUGUAACAGUUGAGAUGGCUUUAUUAGAACAAAAUCAACCAGGUCUUUUGAUUUGGAAGGUUUGUUGACUCUUGAUAAUCAGUACAGUUCGCAUGAUUUUAUCAGCGAUAUGUCUUAAAAGUGUCUGCCCUAUCAGCUUUCGACGGUAGGAUAAUGGCCUACCGUGGCGAUAACGGGUGACGGGGAAUCAGGGUUCGAUUCCGGAGAAGGAGCCUGAGAAACAGCUGCUACAUCCAAGGAAGGCAGCAGGCGCGUAAUUUACCCACUCCGGCACGGGGAGGUAGAGACAAAUAAUAACAAUGCGGUGCACUUACGUGUAUUCGUAAUUGGAAUGAGAUGAUAUUAAAUACUUUGUCAAGUAUCAAUUGGAGGGCAAGUCUGGUGCCAGCAGCCGCGGUAAUUCCAGCUCCAAUAGCAUAUAUUAAAGUUGCUGCAGUUAAAAAGCUCGUAGUUGAAUUCAAAUUGUAACCGCUGGUUUAUCUUUAUGGUAUUUCUGGUGGAAGUGUUUUGUUAGUCGUGACCUUUUGAUGAUCUUAAUCGGUUGUCAUUUGUAAUCGACGGGUUUACUUUGAUGAAAUUGAAGUGCUCAAAGCAGGCCUAUGCCUGUACAGUGUUGCAUGGAAUAAUGAAAUAAGACUUCGGUUUUAUUUUGUUGGUUUUAAAGACUGAUCUAAUGAUUAAAAGGGACUGCCGGGGGCAUCUGUAUACCAGGGGGAGAGGUGAAAUUCGUAGAUCCUUGGUAGACAACCUAUUGCGAAAGCAUUUGCCUAGAAUGUUUUCAUUAAUCAAGAACGAAAGUCAGAGGUUCGAAGACGAUCAGAUACCGUCCUAGUUCUGACCAUAAACUAUACCAUCUUGUAAUUACGAGGAGCUUGUCUCUAAGUGGCAGCCCCCGGAAACUAAAGUUUUUGGGUUCCGGGGGUAGUAUGGUUGCAAAGCUGAAACUUAAAGGAAUUGACGGAAGGGCACCACCAGGAGUGGAGCCCGCGCUUAAUUUGACUCAACACGGGAAAACUCACCCGGUCCGGACACUAAGAUGAUUGACAGAUUGAUAGCUCUUUCUUGAUUUGGUGAACAGUGGUGCAUGGUCGUUCUUAGUUGGUGGAGCGAUUUGUCUGGUUAAUUCCGAUAACGAACGAGACUUUAACCAGCUAAAUAGUAUACUUGUUUUUUGUAGCAAGUGAUACUUCUUAGAGGAAUAAGCAGCUUUUAGCUCGACCGAGAUUGAGCAAUAACAGGUCUGUGAUGCCCUUAGAUGUCCGGGGCCGCACGCGCGCUACAAUUGCUGUGUAACNAUGUUUUAUGGACUGAAAAGUUUGUGAAACCAUGAAUUACUAGCAAAAGCCGGGAUCAUGGAUUGUAAUUAUUCCMUGUAAACGAGGAAUUCCUAGUAAGAGUACGUCAUCAGCGUGUUCUGAUUACGUCCCUGCCCUUUGUACACACCGCCCGUCGCUACUACCGAUUGAAUGGCUUAGUGAGGUUAUUGGAUUUGUGUUGGUGAUGUGGAAACAUAUUACUGAUAUGGAAAAGAUAAUCGAACUUGGUUAUUUAGAGGAAGUAAAAGUCGUAACAAGGUUUCCGUAGUGAACCUGCAGAUGG